UACGGGGGGGGCGAGCGUUGUUCGGAAUUACUGGGCGUAAAGGGUUUGUAGGUGGCCUGCUAAGUCAGACGUGAAAUCCCUCAGCUUAACUGGGGAACUGCGUCUGAUACUGGUGGGCUUGAGGACAGGAGAGGAACGCGGAAUUCCAGGUGUAGCGGUGAAAUGCGUAGAUAUCUGGAGGAACACCGGUGGCGAAGGCGGCGUUCUGGACUGUUUCUGACACUGAAAAACGAAAGCCAGGGGAGCAAACGGG
This 253-nucleotide ribosomal RNA is filed under the name uncultured bacterium. RNAcentral's name for it is "partial 16S ribosomal RNA". It matches the Rfam family "Bacterial small subunit ribosomal RNA", at positions 524 to 776 of the family's 1533-position model. The record is from RNAcentral.